This 233-nucleotide long non-coding RNA is filed under the name Hordeum vulgare. RNAcentral describes it as "long non-coding RNA (HVUL_LNC003499)". Lineage: Eukaryota; Viridiplantae; Streptophyta; Magnoliopsida; Poales; Poaceae. The record is from RNAcentral.
UAAGGAACAUAAUAUAAAAGAAUAAUCAAAUAUAUAACUCAUAACAAUCUAAACAUGAUCUCAUAAUCCAUCGGAACCCAACAAACCGAGCAUAGCAAUAACAAGAGAAUUACAUAGAUGUCUUGAUCAUGUAGGGCAGUUCACAAGGACUAACCAUUGAAGCACAAGAUUGGAGAGAAGACAUCACAUAGCUACUGGUCAUGGACCCAUGGUCCAAGGAGGACUACUCACGA